This 466-nucleotide ribosomal RNA is filed under the name uncultured bacterium. RNAcentral describes it as "partial 16S ribosomal RNA". It matches the Rfam family "Bacterial small subunit ribosomal RNA", at positions 28 to 507 of the family's 1533-position model. The record is from RNAcentral.
GACGAAUGCUGGCGGCGUGCUUAACACAUGCAAGUCGAACGGACAGGCCCUGCUUGCAGGGUACUCGCGUGGCGAACGGGUGAGUAACACGUGGGUGAUCUGCCCUCCACUUCGGGAUAAGCUUGGGAAACUGGGUCUAAUACCGGAUAGGAACCAUCUUUAGUGUGGUGGUUGGAAAGUUUUUUCGGUGUAGGAUGAGCUCGCGGCCUAUCAGCUUGUUGGUGGGGUAAUGGCCUACCAAGGCGGCGACGGGUAGCCGGCCUGAGAGGGUGUACGGCCACAUUGGAACUCUGAGACAGCCCAGACUCCUACGUGAGGCAGCAGUGGCGAAUAUUUGACAAUGGGCGCAAGCCUGAGGCAGCGACGCCGCGUGGGCGAUGAAGGCCGUCGUGUUGUAAACUCCUUUCUCUAGGGACGAAGCUUUGUUGUGACGGUACCUAGAUAAGAAGCACCGGCUAACUACGUG